AUGCCUGUGAAUGGGGAUGAGCAUGCGAAUACUGCUGGAGUUGGCCUAACCCAACGACCAGACGCAACACGACGGCGACGGCCAUGGCUUCGCCGGACCUCGCCGCCGGCGACGGCAGCUACGACUUUCACCUUCGCUCUCUCUCCGCGGCCUCACGGGACUCCGCUGCGGCCUCCGACCCCGCCUCUGACCCCAACCUCCUCCAAUCUGUUAGGAGGGUGUGCGAGAUGUGCCGAACGGCGAAGGAAGCGAAGGACGAGAUGGUGGCGCGGGCGUUCCCCGUGAUGGGCAAGCUAUUUCAGCGAUGCGCCGCCGCUCCCACGCAGGCCGUUGCCUCCACCGGCGUGCUGCUCCUCACCAUUUUGCAAUUCUUCUUGGAUUUUGGGGAGGCUGUUUUGCAUGAUGCUGAUGGUAGCUUGAAAACCUUCUUCCGCUCUUGCUUAAGGAGUUUGCAGAUCCUAUUGUUGCAGAGCGCACAGUUGAAUUCCUUGUAACAAACAAGACAAAGAUCCUUAGCUCCUUUCCCAAUUUGAUUCCACAGGUGCCAACACUUGAAAUAUUUACUUACUUGGAAUUGACAAUUCCCACAUGUAGCUCCUAUUAUUCAUGCUGUUGCAGAUCAUUGCUUUGAAAAACUGAAAGAUAUAAAUCCAGCUUCCUUCUUUGUUUUAUAGCAUAUUUGUCAAUUUUUUAUGUGAAUGGUGGGGGAGGCCCCUACAUGUAUUUCUUCACUAACAGAAGCAAAGAAAUAUUUACAAUACAGGAGGCUGUAGGCCAAAAAGGUAGAGAAAAAACAGAAAAAACCAUAUUUGUAUGAUAAGCUACUCAACCAAUCUUUUGUAAGAUUCUUUAUAGAAUAUCUCUCUUCUCUUCCUAUUUUCCAUAUUCGACUUAAUCUUGUUAACACAUGCCAAUGCUUGUGUAUCCUUGUUUAUACACAGUUCUAUCCAUUGUUGUUAAAGCUUAUUGCAUCAAACGGUGAGAGGUAUGUGCUCGUAUUGUCAUGAACUUCACAUAGCUCUAUCAUCCAUGUUCCCUUUAAAUGACUCAGUACAGGUACCAUAAAUAUCCAAUAGCAAUCCCGUUGAACUACCUAAUUUGUUUUCUAACAUUCUAGACUGGAGAAUAAGUUUUCGGAAGUACUUCCAUUAAUGAUGUCAGCAGGAUCUUUUCUUCCCCUCUUCCUAUCCCUUAUGGAUUUGCCAAUGUUGGUGGUGGCACUGGAAAAGGUGGAAAGAAGUUCUGGAACUCUUAUUGGUAGUAGUAUAGCUACAAUCCAGAAGAGCGCUGCUCCUGAGAUGCUUCUUGCACUGAUGGACGAGGCAUAUACUGGUUCUGCCGUAGAAGAACCUAGUGGUAAUUCAGGUUCUGAUGAUAGUGGUCCCCUAGACCUUACUGACCCAAUGUUCUUAGACCUUCUAAAAGAUGAGAAUGAUGGCAUUGCCGCAAAACAUUGGAUAUCCCCUACGAUAUCUUCAACGUUACAAGCAGCAUUUAACAGCCCACAGUCGGACAGAUUGAAACAGUCACUGGAAAUGGCACCUCGCUUUCUUACUUUAUAUUUUGCAACAGCAUUGCGAGACGUUAAUGACUCACUGCUGUGUGCUCUUAUUCCAGUAGUUAUGUCAAGAUAUGCUGCAAUGUUCCCAGACAAAGUUUUCUCUUUCAAGGUGAGGGAAAGGCUUUCAGACUUCAUUUUGGCUGCAUUCCAGCGGUCUCCCAACAUCAUUGCAGUACUGAAGAUUAUCUUUCUCACUGUAACUGAAAUUUACUGAUGGACUGUGGCCAGUGCAGACAGAGUUAGCAUUGCACUUGUGCUGGGCCAUUGGUGAGCAUGGAGCUGGAGGGGUGGGUCACAAGGAUGUAGCUCGUGAACUAUUUGAAAAUUUGGAGUUAUUAUUGUAUGAAAACCUGGCAACUAGCCGUUUGGGAUUAAGCCAAGAGCCAGGAUCUGAUUCCAUGGGUGCAUCAUCUAGAAAGUCAUCCCAAGCCAGGCUUCUCUGCUUUGUGGUGACUGCUAUUGCAAAAUUAGCAACAUGCCACAGUGAGUUGCUUCCGAGGGCACGCGUGUCAUUGGGUCGCUCGUUCCCGAACCUCAGACAGGAGGGUCUGGCAACGGGCCUGUGACUAUUUAGGGCUCAUGAAUGAACCAGCCAUCUGUUUAUCUGUACUGGGACCGUCCACCGCCCAAGGAAAUGGUCCUGGUAUUGUGAAUUGGAGUGAAGGAGGAACAAAGAUGGUAGCUCAUGUUCCUUUUUACCUUUUAGCCCAGCAAAAAGGUCCACCGUCUCAUAAUUUUUCAUUUGCCGACCUCCUCCCAACAGAAUGAAGAAAAUAUCUGCAUGAGUGCAUUGGUGCAGGCAUGAUUUCUCUAGCAGAAGGCCAUAUAACGAUUUUGUUUUGAAGAUCCAAGUUCCUUUUUAAAAAAGGGGCUGGUCUGAACAUUCAGGCUUAUUUCUCUAGCAUAAUACUCAUAAAGAGUCCUGUACUUUUAGGUCUUGUUCGGUUAUUCCUAUAAUACAUGGAUUGAUGGAAUUAAAAAAAAUUUAGAAGAACUUUGACUUGCUUAGGAAUUCAACACAUCUAAUCCCACUCAAUCCAUAUGGAUUGAGAGCUAAUCGAACAAGUCUUACAUGGUUGACUAUGCACUCGAGUUAUGGAAUGUAUGGUAUUACAUUUCUAAGUGGUGGAUCGUAGUGUAAAAAAUGUACACGUCUGAAUUUGUUCGAAAUGACAAGUAUCUGUUUUGUUUGAAA
RNA transcript from Zea mays, 2756 nucleotides. RefSeq lists it as uncharacterized. The transcript has 13 exons. NCBI's taxonomy places the organism in Eukaryota, Viridiplantae, Streptophyta, Magnoliopsida, Poales, Poaceae. The record is from RefSeq and is marked validated.